UACGGAGGGUGCAAGCAUUAAUCGGAUUUAUUGGGCGUAAAGGGCGCGUAGGCGGAAGAGAAAGUCAGAUGUGAAAUUUUGGGGCUCAACCUCAAAGCUGCAUUUGAAACUUCUCAUCUAGAGGGUAGGCGGAGAAAACGGAAUUCCACAAGUAGCGGUGAAAUGCGUAGAUAUGUGGAAGAACACCGGUGGCGAAGGCGGUUUUCUAGCUUAUUCCUGACGCUGAAGCGCGAAAGCAAGGGGAUCAAACAGG
Molecule: ribosomal RNA, 253 nt
Filed under: uncultured bacterium
Lineage: Bacteria
Description: partial 16S ribosomal RNA
Rfam family: Bacterial small subunit ribosomal RNA
Source: RNAcentral